Molecule: long non-coding RNA, 209 nt
Filed under: Vigna radiata
Lineage: Eukaryota; Viridiplantae; Streptophyta; Magnoliopsida; Fabales; Fabaceae
Description: long non-coding RNA (VRAD_LNC017209)
Source: RNAcentral
AUAAGUUGCAGAAACAACAAAUUCUAUUCAAUUUUCGAAAUGGACAAANNUGUUUGAUAAAAUGUCCAAGAGAACUCUGUGAUUGAUGCACCAAAAUUGAAACCAGAUUGAUUGGUACUGGUUACACAGCUUUUUCAGACAAAUGCUUUUGUUAAAUUUGCAUUGUAUAUUUCUUUUAAUUCAAUUAAACCAAGCUUUUGCUACCAAUC